CCGAUGGCUUUGGCGAGCCCAAGUCUUUGGCACUCUUCCAUGGCAGUCCACACACCCUUGAGGUCGAAAGGAAGGAAGUCUUCCUGCUUAAUGGGAUAGACUGGUGGCCCUGGCUUUGCGCUUACAGCCCAAUGUAUAAGGAACAACAAGAUUAGGAUGUGCAUCACUAACCCACAGCUUAGAAGUGAUGAAAAGCUCCUCUCUUGAUUUAACCAUUCCACAGUUAAGCACUUGAGUGAUUCCCUCUCCAAGAGCCUUCUCUGUAAAGUAGAUGGUGGCUGUAUCAAAGUGCCGGUAACCCACUUCCACAGCGUCGAUUACGGCAUUUUUUGUUACCUCAUCGGGCACCGGCGGGUUAGGAGCCAUGCCUAGACCCAGUACCGGCAUGGACACUCCACCAUGGCUUAGCUGAAUGGUUGGAAUUUUAGGUGAAGUUCCCUCAUUUGCCAUAGUUUCUCUGUCAAUAAUUCCCCUGUUUUUUCGUUCUGUUUUGGUGUCAAGUGUUAGGACUUAAGUAUGUAGGAUGUUUGUCUAUCUGCUUUCUUUUAAGUAGUGACUGAGAUGUAAAUGCUCUAUUGGAUUGAUCAAAAGUUUGUGGGUUGUUGGUACUUUUUGUUUUUAAUGCCACAUUUGUAUAGGACUGA
This is a long non-coding RNA of Beta vulgaris subsp. vulgaris (sugar beet), 644 nucleotides long. RefSeq lists it as uncharacterized. NCBI's taxonomy places the organism in Eukaryota, Viridiplantae, Streptophyta, Magnoliopsida, Caryophyllales, Amaranthaceae. The record is from RefSeq and is a predicted model, not a curated record. The transcript is spliced from 2 exons.